Molecule: ribosomal RNA, 406 nt
Filed under: uncultured bacterium
Lineage: Bacteria
Description: partial 16S ribosomal RNA
Rfam family: Bacterial small subunit ribosomal RNA
Source: RNAcentral
AUUGACCGCUGGCGGCAGGCCUAACACAUGCAAGUCGAGCGAGCGGCGGACGGGUGAGUAAUGUCUGGGAAACUGCCUGAUGGAGGGGGAUAACUACUGGAAACGGUAGCUAAUACCGCAUACCAUCAGAUGUGCCCAGAUGGGAUUAGCUCGUAGGGGGGGUAACGGCUCACCUAGGCGACGAUCCCUAGCUGGUCUGAGAGGAUGACCAGCCACACUGGAACGGAGACACGGUCCAGACUCAUACGGGAGGCAGCAGUGGGGAAUAUUGAACAAUGGGCGCAAGCCUGAGGAAGCCAUGCCGCGUGUAUGAAGAAGGCCUUCGGGUUGUAAAGUACUUUCAGCGGGGAGACGUUACCCGCAGAAGAAGCACCGGCUAACUCCGUGCCAGCAGCCGCGGUAAUAC